This 127-nucleotide small nuclear RNA is filed under the name Cimex lectularius (bed bug). RNAcentral describes it as "U4 spliceosomal RNA". It matches the Rfam family "U4 spliceosomal RNA". From Rfam's summary of the family: U4 small nuclear RNA (U4 snRNA) is a component of the major U2-dependent spliceosome. The structure of U4 snRNA from yeast and human has been reported. U4 snRNA presents a k-turn RNA motif in the 5p-SL related to recognition of Snu13 protein. Lineage: Eukaryota; Metazoa; Arthropoda; Insecta; Hemiptera; Cimicidae. The record is from Rfam by way of RNAcentral.
AACCUUGUACAGUGGCAAUAUCGUAAUCAAUGAAGUUCUACUGUGAUGCGAUUAUUGCUAGUUGAAACUAUUUAAACUAGCCAUGGCUUUCAACCUUCGUUUCUGUAUUGUUCGAAGUAGGUAACUG